RNAcentral lists this unclassified non-coding RNA (288 nucleotides) under uncultured Capnodiales. RNAcentral describes it as "sequence contains ITS1". The stretch from base 1 to 105 matches the Rfam family "5.8S ribosomal RNA", at positions 50 to 154 of the family's 154-position model. Lineage: Eukaryota; Fungi; Ascomycota; Dothideomycetes; Capnodiales. The record is from RNAcentral.
GAAAUGCGAUAAGUAAUGUGAAUUGCAGAAUUCAGUGAAUCAUCGAAUCUUUGAACGCACAUUGCGCCCCCUGGUAUUCCGGGGGGCAUGCCUGUUCGAGCGUCAUUUCACCACUCAAGCCUCGCUUGGUAUUGGGCAACGCGGUCCGCCGCGUGCCUCAAAUCGACCGGCUGGGUCUUCUGUCCCCUAAGCGUUGUGGAAACUAUUCGCUAAAGGGUGUUUACGCCGUAAAACAACCCCAUUUCUAAGGUUGACCUCGGAUCAGGUAGGGAUACCCGCUGAACUUAA